Molecule: non-coding RNA, 68 nt
Filed under: unclassified sequences
Description: L31-Actinobacteria ribosomal protein leader
Rfam family: L31-Actinobacteria ribosomal protein leader
Source: RNAcentral
CAGGUUCCGGUUCACGCCCGAGCCGCCCGCUUGAUGAUCAAGGCGGCGCUGACGGCGACCCGGCGACC